GAGUGGACUCCUACGGGAGGCAGCAGUGGGGAAUAUUGCACAAUGGGCGCAAGCCUGAUGCAGCGACGCCGCGUGAGGGAUGGAGGCCUUCGGGUUGUAAACCUCUUUCGCCAGUGAAGCAGGCCUGCUCCUUGUGGGUGGGUUGACGGUAGCUGGAUAAGAAGCGCCGGCUAACUACGUGCCAGCAGCCGCGGUAAUACGUAGGGCGCGAGCGUUGUCCGGAAUUAUUGGGCGUAAAGAGCUCGUAGGCGGCUGGUCGCGUCUGUCGUGAAAUCCUCUGGCUUAACUGGGGGCUUGCGGUGGGUACGGGCCGGCUUGAGUGCGGUAGGGGAGACUGGAACUCCUGGUGUAGCGGUGGAAUGCGCAGAUAUCAGGAAGAACACCGGUGGCGAAGGCGGGUCUCUGGGCCGUUACUGACGCUGAGGAGCGAAAGCGUGGGGAGCGAACAGGAUUAGAUACCCUUGUAGUCCU
RNAcentral lists this ribosomal RNA (471 nucleotides) under uncultured bacterium. RNAcentral's name for it is "bacterial SSU rRNA". It matches the Rfam family "Bacterial small subunit ribosomal RNA", at positions 329 to 797 of the family's 1533-position model. The record is from RNAcentral.